AUUGAACGCUGGCGGCAUGCUUUACACAUGCAAGUCGAACGGCAGCAUGGGCUUCGGCCUGAUGGCGAGUGGCGAACGGGGGAGUAAUGCAUCGGAACGUGCCGUGUAGUGGGGGAUAACACAGCGAAAGUGGUCCUAAUACCGCAUACAUCCUACGGGAAAAAGCAGGGGAUCGCAAGACCUUGCCCAAUACGAGAGGCCGAGGUCCGAUUAGCUAGUUGGUAGGGUAAAGGCCUACCAAGGCGACGAUCGGUAGCGGGUCUGAGAGGACGAUCCGCCACACUGGAACUGAGACACGGUCCAGACUCCUACGGGAGGCAGCAGUGGGGAAUUUUGGACAAUGGGCGAAAGCCUGAUCCAGCAAUGCCGCGUGAGUGAAGAAGGCCCUUGGGUUGUAAAGCUCUUUCGGUCGGGAAGAAGGAAUGGGUGCUAAUAUCACCUGUGACAGACGGUACCGGCAUAAGAAGCACCGGCUAACUACGUGCCAGCCGCCGCGGUAA
RNAcentral lists this ribosomal RNA (500 nucleotides) under uncultured bacterium. Its description in RNAcentral is "partial 16S ribosomal RNA". It matches the Rfam family "Bacterial small subunit ribosomal RNA", at positions 29 to 523 of the family's 1533-position model. The record is from RNAcentral.